GAUUUGAGUCAGAGGACCUAGGUUUGAAAACUGGCUCUUGGGUCUCUCUUUUAGUAUGUGCCCUACCUGAUUGAAAGCUUUCUUAUUCUGUGGGAUGAUGAUAGGAGUCUCCUGGGCAUCACCAAACCUUCCAGGCUUUACAUGAGCAAUUUUUGGUUGACCUACAGUGUUCUGAAAGGUGAUAAUAACUGGCAAAUACUGACCAGAACUAGAAGCCACUUGUCAGCUUUUCCAAACUGAGGAAUUUUCAGAUGAGGAAACCGAGACCCAGAAGCCAAGUACUUUGUCUGAUUGUUUAUGGAAGAACUCAGAUGAAGAGACCCUCCAGGGUCAAGGAAGUGAGCAACAUACUUCAUCAUAGUUGGUCAUCACUGAUCAAAGAGCCAACAAGCAAUUCCACUGAGUCGUACAAAUAUUAUCACUAGAACCCGGGACUUCUGAUCCCAGAUCCAGUGUUCUAUCUACUUCGCCCCACCAAGGACACAUUCCACUGAAAGAAAAGGCGAAGCUAGAUAGUGUCCCCAUUUCAGGGACUGAGUCAGAGCGAGAAAUUAACUGGAGUGAACACCGAGUGUUUGAAAUGGCAACAGCCGCCGCCACUGCCGCCAAGAGGGAGACGCCAAGUUCCAGAUUGACGUGAAGGAGGGGACUGGGCUAUAAACUGUUUAGUCAUGGUUUCUUUAUACAAAGCGAGGGGGGGAUUAUAGAGCAAGUUGCCAAAACAAAAAAUAGAAGCCUACUUGAGAACAGCCAGUGGGAAGUUGUCGGGGGCUGAUGGGAGGGAGGAGGCAUCAAAGGCUCUGGCCACCGGCUGUCCUUCUAGGGUAAGCUGAGAUGCCAGCUUCUCCUCUGUCACACGGAGGCUCGGCCGUAACACAACUGAUUUCACACCCUGUAGGAAAGUGUUCAAAAAGAGGCUGGGUUGGUUUUGAAAUAUGAAGCCGUGCGACGGCUAAGCACACAUCAUCGCUUGGGUUUUGUAACAAUUAAAUUAGUGCUUAAAGCCCUCUCAGAGGGGAUUUUUUUCAAUCUUUAGGUGGCAUGGAUCUUUUAAGGGGUCUGGGCUAUUUCGUGGCUGUGUGUAAAUAUAUCACGCGCGGGAACUAACUGCUCAGGACCCGGAUUCCAGCUCCAGUGUGUGACAAGCAGGAAUAGAGUCCCAAGAACAUUCGGCACCAUUAGUUAAGUCAACAGGUUCUGCUCGAAAUGCUGAAGGUGAGCGAAACCUGCCAAGUGCUAAUGGAACUGCUGGAAAUAAAGGAAACUGGACACCAGAAGCGAGCUGCCUG
RNAcentral lists this long non-coding RNA (1289 nucleotides) under Monodelphis domestica (gray short-tailed opossum). RNAcentral describes it as "lncRNA (ENSMODG00000050783.1)". The record is from RNAcentral. Lineage: Eukaryota; Metazoa; Chordata; Mammalia; Didelphimorphia; Didelphidae.